Molecule: non-coding RNA, 30 nt
Filed under: Rattus norvegicus (Norway rat)
Lineage: Eukaryota; Metazoa; Chordata; Mammalia; Rodentia; Muridae
Source: RNAcentral
UAUUUGGUCAAAGGCGUUUCCUUCUGGAGC